UCCCUUGUGGCUUAGAGGUUAAAGCAUCUGCCUGCAAUGCGGGAGACCUGGGUUCGAUCCCUGGGUCGGGAA
RNAcentral lists this transfer RNA (72 nucleotides) under Bos taurus (domestic cattle). It matches the Rfam family "tRNA". Rfam says of the family: Transfer RNA (tRNA) molecules are approximately 80 nucleotides in length. RNAcentral also lists the same sequence under 1 other name. Lineage: Eukaryota; Metazoa; Chordata; Mammalia; Artiodactyla; Bovidae. The record is from Rfam by way of RNAcentral.